GAUGAACGCUGGCGGCGUGCCUAAUACAUGCAAGUCGAACGCAUUGAGAGAAGUGCUUGCCCUUUUCAAUUUGAGUGGCGAACGGGUGAGUAACACGUGGGCAACCUACCUGAUAGCGGGGGAUAACGAGUGGAAACAUUCGCUAAUACCGCAUAACAAUAGAGAAGGCAUCUUCUUUAUUUAAAAGGCGCUUUCAAGCGUCACUAUCAGAUGGGCCCGCGGUGCAUUAGGUAGUUGGUGGGGUGAAGGCAUACCAAGACGAUGAUGCAUAGGCGAGUUGAGAGACUGAUCGGCCUCAUUGGGACUAAGACACCGCCCAAACUCCUACGAGAGGCUGCAGUAGGGAAUCUUCCACAAUGGACGAAAGUCUGAUGGAGCAACGCCGCGUGUGUGAUGAAGGCUUUCGGGUCGUAAAGCACUGUUGUAUGGGAAGAAAUGCUAGGCUAGGAAAUGAGCUUAGUUUGACGGUACCAUACCAGAAAGGGACGGCUAAAUACGUGCCAGCCGCCGCGGUAA
RNAcentral lists this ribosomal RNA (516 nucleotides) under uncultured bacterium. Its description in RNAcentral is "partial 16S ribosomal RNA". It matches the Rfam family "Bacterial small subunit ribosomal RNA", at positions 28 to 523 of the family's 1533-position model. The record is from RNAcentral.